ACUAUAGCUUCGCAGUGACAACUUUGAUCGAAUGUGUAGGAUAGGUGGGAGGUGGUGACACACAACGUCCAAUCCUGAAAGACCACUCUUUCGUCUAAGGAUGCCUAACCGCCGCACCGAAAAUUCAGGGGGGGGCGGGACACUACGAGGUGGGUAGUUUAUCUGGGGCGGGUGCCUCCUAAAGAGUAACGGAGGUGUGCGAAGGUAGGCUCAAGCUAAGAUUCUGCUCGUGAGCGUAAUGGUAUAAGCCUGCCUGGUCCGAAUUCAUUUUCCUUACCAACCCCGGCUCAACCUAGCACGACCAGUACAAAUGCCCUAGUUCGAC
Molecule: non-coding RNA, 325 nt
Filed under: Gossypium hirsutum (cotton)
Lineage: Eukaryota; Viridiplantae; Streptophyta; Magnoliopsida; Malvales; Malvaceae
Description: Bacterial large subunit ribosomal RNA
Rfam family: Bacterial large subunit ribosomal RNA
Source: Rfam by way of RNAcentral